GCGCCUAACACAUGCAAGUCGAACGGUUAAAGCACCUUUUAGGUGUGUAUAAAGUGGCGAACGGCUGAGUAACACGUGGGCAACCUGCCCUCCUCUUGGGGAUAGCCUCGGGAAACCGAGGAUAAUACCCGAUACUUCAAUGUGGCCGCAUGACGACAUUGAGAAAGCUUUUGCGGAGAAGGAUGGGCCCGCGGCCUGUUAGCUUGUUGGUGGGGUAGAGGCCUACCAAGGCAAUGAUGGGUAGCUGGGUUGAGAGACCGACCAGCCAGAUUGGGACUGAGACACGGCCCAGACUCCUACGGGAGGCAGCAGUGGGGAAUCUUGCACAAUGGGCGAAAGCCUGAUGCAGCGACGCCGCGUGCGGGACGAAGGCCUUCGGGUUGUAAACCGCUUUCAGCAGGGACGAGGCGAAAGUGACGGUACCUGCAGAAGAAGCCCCGGCUAACCACGUGCCAGCAGCCGCGGUAAUACGUAGGGGGCAAGCGUUAUCCGGAUUCAUUGGGCGUAAAGCGCUCGUAGGCGGUCUGUUAGGUCGGGAGUUAAAUCCGGAGGCUCAACCUCCGCCCGCUCCCGAUACCGGCAGACUUGAGUUUGGUAGGGGAAGGUGGAAUUCCUAGUGUAGCGGUGGAAUGCGCAGAUAUUAGGAAGAACACCAGUGGCGAAGGCGGCCUUCUGGGCCAUAACUGACGCUGAGGAGCGAAAGCUAGGGGAGCAAACAGGAUUAG
RNAcentral lists this ribosomal RNA (725 nucleotides) under uncultured Actinomycetes bacterium. Its description in RNAcentral is "bacterial SSU rRNA". It matches the Rfam family "Bacterial small subunit ribosomal RNA", at positions 44 to 781 of the family's 1533-position model. Lineage: Bacteria; Bacillati; Actinomycetota; Actinomycetes. The record is from RNAcentral.